Molecule: ribosomal RNA, 722 nt
Filed under: uncultured bacterium
Lineage: Bacteria
Description: bacterial SSU rRNA
Rfam family: Bacterial small subunit ribosomal RNA
Source: RNAcentral
AGUCGACGAGAAGCGGGGGCAACCUCGUGAGUAAGUGGCGUACGGGUGAGUAACACGUGGGUAAUCUACCUCUUAGUGGGGAAUAACGCUGGGAAACCGGCGCUAAUACCGCAUAAGCUCGAGAGAGGAAAGCAGCAAUGCGCUGAGAGAGGAGCCCGCGGUCGAUUAGCUAGUUGGUGAGGUAAGAGCUCACCAAGGCAAAGAUCGAUAGCCGGCCUGAAAGGGCACACGGCCACACUGGCACUGAAACACGGGCCAGACUCCUACGGGAGGCAGCAGUGGGGAAUCUUGCACAAUGGGGGCAACCCUGAUGCAGCGACGCCGCGUGAACGAUGAAGCCCUUCGGGGUGUAAAGUUCUUUCGGCAGGGACGAUAAUGACGGUACCUGCAGAAGCAGCUGCGGCUAACUACGUGCCAGCAGCCGCGGUAAUACGUAGGCAGCGAGCGUUGUUCGGAGUUACUGGGCGUAAAGGGUGUGUAGGCGGUUCUUUAAGUUUGGUGUGAAAUCUCCCGGCUCAACCGGGAGGGUGCGCCGAAUACUGAGGGACUAGAGUAUGGGAUGGGAAAGUGGAAUUCCUGGUGUAGCGGUGAAAUGCGUAGAUAUCAGGAGGAACACCUGUGGUGUAGACGGCUUUCUGGACCAUAACUGACGCUGAGACACGANAGCGUGGGUAGCAAACAGGAUUAGAUACCCUGGUAGUCCACGCCCUAAACGAUGCAUA